RNAcentral lists this transfer RNA (78 nucleotides) under Candidatus Bathyarchaeota archaeon. Its description in RNAcentral is "tRNA-Met". It matches the Rfam family "tRNA". From Rfam's summary of the family: Transfer RNA (tRNA) molecules are approximately 80 nucleotides in length. Their secondary structure includes four short double-helical elements and three loops (D, anti-codon, and T loops). The record is from RNAcentral. RNAcentral also lists the same sequence under 5 other names. Lineage: Archaea; Thermoproteati; Candidatus Bathyarchaeota.
GCCGGGGUAGCCUAGCCUGGCUAGGGCGCCAGACUCAUAAUCUGGAGGUCGCGGGCUCGAAUCCCGCUCCCGGCACCA